UACAGAGGGUGCAAGCGUUAGUCGGAAUUACUGGGCGUAAAGCGUGCGUAGACGGUCAUGUAAGUCGGGUGUGAAAGCCCCGGGCUCAACCUGGGAAUUGCAUUCGAGACUGCAUGGCUAGGAUGCGGAAGAGGGAAGCGGAAUUUCCGGUGUAGCGGUGAAAUGCGUAGAUAUCGGAAGGAACACCAGUGGCGAAAGCGGCUUCCUGGUCCAGCAUCGACGUUCAGGCACGAAAGCGUGGGGAGCAAACAGG
RNAcentral lists this ribosomal RNA (253 nucleotides) under uncultured bacterium. RNAcentral describes it as "partial 16S ribosomal RNA". It matches the Rfam family "Bacterial small subunit ribosomal RNA", at positions 524 to 776 of the family's 1533-position model. The record is from RNAcentral.